UACGGAGGGGGCUAGCGUUGUUCGGAAUUACUGGGCGUAAAGCGCGCGUAGGCGGACCUGCAAGUCGGGGGUGAAAGCCCGAGGCUCAACCUCGGAACUGCCUUCGAUACUGCGGGUCUCGAGUCCGGGAGAGGUGAGUGGAAUUCCUAGUGUAGAGGUGAAAUGCGUAGAUAUUGGGAGGAACACCAGUGGCGAAGGCGGCUACCUGGACCGGUUCUGACGCUGAGGCGCGAAAGCGUGGGGAUCAAACAGG
Molecule: ribosomal RNA, 253 nt
Filed under: uncultured bacterium
Lineage: Bacteria
Description: partial 16S ribosomal RNA
Rfam family: Bacterial small subunit ribosomal RNA
Source: RNAcentral